AAAAUGGGGACUGACUGCGCAUCUUAGCAAGUCUCAGUAAACUUCAGGUCAUAGGAAUUUUCGCAAACAUAAAAUAGAAUGAGAAUUGAAUGAUGCAUAGCUCUCUGCCUUUCUCUUGCUGAGCUAUGAAGCAUUUCUGAAAUUGAUAAUUUAGUAAAGGAAAAUAGAUUGACAAAAUGCCAAAAUUCUCUUGCGAUUUUCGAUGCCUUCUCGUUCCUGCCGCAUUUGCAUUCAUCUACAUCCAGAUGCGGCUUUUCGCUACACAGUCAGAGUAUGCAGAUCGCCUCGCUGCUGCUGUUGAAUCAGAAAACCAUUGUACAAGUCAAAUGCGAUUGCUAAUUGAUCAAAUAAGUAUGCAACAGGGAAGAAUUGUGGCUCUUGAAGAAGAAAGGAAGCGUCAAGGUGAAGAGUGUAGACAACUAAAGGCUCUUAUUGAAGAUCUUGAAAGAAAAGGCCUCCAAAAAGUGGCAGACAAGGCGCCAGUGGCUGCAGUUGUGAUUAUGGCAUGCAAUCGUGCUGAUUAUUUGGAAAGGACUAUUAAGUCUGUAUUGAAGUAUCAAAGCUCUAUUGCUUCAAGGUAUCCACUUUUUGUAUCCCAGGAUGGAUCCAACCCAGAUGUUAGAAGCAAGGCUUUGAGUUAUGAUCAACUAAUGUACAUGCAGCACUUAGAUUCUGAACCAGUGCAGACAGAAAGGCCUGGAGAGUUGAUUGCAUACUACAAGAUUGCACGGCAUUACAAAUGGGCAUUGGAUCAAUUGUUCUACAAGCAUAAAUUCAGUCGAGUGAUCAUACUUGAAGAUGAUAUGGAGAUUGCUCCUGAUUUUUUCAAUUACUUCGAGGCUGCAGCAGCUCUUCUUGAUAAAGACAAGUCCAUUAUGGCUGUUUCCUCAUGGAAUGACAAUGGACAAAAGCAAUUUGUGUAUGAUCCGUAUACACUUUAUCGGUCAGAUUUCUUUCCUGGACUGGGAUGGAUGCUUACUAGAUCAAUGUGGGAUGAACUAUCCCCUAAAUGGCCAAAAGCUUACUGGGAUGAUUGGUUGAGGUUGAAAGAGAAUCGCAAAGGUCGACAAUUUGUUCGUCCAGAAGUGUGCAGGACAUAUAACUUUGGUGAGCAGGGUUCUAGUUUGGGACAGUUUUUCAAACAAUAUCUUGAGCCUAUUAAGUUGAAUGAUGCCCAGGUUGACUGGAAAUCGAUGAAUUUGAGCUACCUGAUGGAGGACAACUAUACAAAAUACUUUGCCAACAUUUUGAAAAACGCAAAAGCUGUACACGGAAAUGAUGCUGUUCUUAAGGCAUACAAUAUAGAAGGUGAUGUUCGUAUUCAGUAUAAAGACCAAUCAGACUUCGAACGCAUUGCACGCCAGUUUGGUAUUUUUGAAGAAUGGAAGGAUGGAGUACCAAGGACAGCAUAUAAAGGAAUAGUUGUUUUCCGAUAUCAUACACAAAGACGAAUUUUCCUUGUUGGUCCUGAUUCUUUGAGGCGGCUUGGGGUUGAAGAUGCUUGAUGCUAAAUGGAGGUAAGACACUAUGCUCUAUGUGUAACGAUAUUGUACGUUUCUAUUUAUUGGGAGGGCAUAGCUGUUCCAGAUUGAUUUUGAUGCCAAAAUUGAGUACUUAAUUUAUAUCUUAUUAAUUAACAGGGUUUCUAGGGAUUUAUGAACUGGCGGAUUGACACAUUUGUGUGAAACGAGGAUUUGUUUAUACAUGGUUUAGUUAGUCAAGCAUGAUUACCUUGUGUAUAAUACCAUCAUGGAGCUGGAUGCAAUCAUCAUGUUUUUCUCGACACUUCCACCAAUUUAUUUGUCUCCCUUCUGCUAGUUAAUAUAUUGGAUGCUAAUUUUUGUACUUCUGAAAGUGGUUGCUGGUGGCUAGCUAGCGUUUGAUACACAUGUUUUCCCUGCAUAUUGACCACAAUUGCCUACGAAUUUUUGGUGUUUUGUACUUUAGUGUCUAGAAUUACUCUUUUUAUCUCUCGUGCUCUUUUUUGUUUCUUUUUUCUUUUCUUUUGGAUACAUUUGGCUUGAACUAAGACUAGAACUUGAGAUCUUCAGUACCACUAAGUUAUAGUUCAUUGGUCUCUUGCUUCUCUUUUCUAGUAGGCACCAAAUGAUGAUGUAAUGCUCUUUAUCGAUGUAUGGUACAUCCAAAGGUCAAUUAAGCUUCUAUAUGCAAAUUAUUCUUCUGAUAUU
Molecule: unclassified non-coding RNA, 2189 nt
Filed under: Hevea brasiliensis (rubber tree)
Lineage: Eukaryota; Viridiplantae; Streptophyta; Magnoliopsida; Malpighiales; Euphorbiaceae
Source: RNAcentral